GGCGAACGGGUGAGGAACACGUAAGAAACCUGCCCUUAAGACGAGGAUAACUAUUGGAAACGAUAGCUAAUACUGGAUAGGAUAUAAGGCCGCAUGGUCUAAUAUUUAAAGGGAGCCUUCAAGCUCCGCUUAGGGAUGGUCUUGCGCAGCAUUAGCUAGUUGGUAGGGUAACGGCCUACCAAGGCGACGAUGCUUAGCUGGUCUGAGAGGAUGAACAGCCACACUGGGACUGAGACACGGCCCAGACUCC
RNAcentral lists this ribosomal RNA (250 nucleotides) under uncultured bacterium. RNAcentral describes it as "partial 16S ribosomal RNA". It matches the Rfam family "Bacterial small subunit ribosomal RNA", at positions 97 to 339 of the family's 1533-position model. The record is from RNAcentral.